UUAAUUUCACGCUGUCUUAAGUGGCUGUAGUCACGUUAUUUACCAAUAUUUUUAAAUGGUGACAAUAUUCCCCAGUCUGAAAAGUGGUGACGAUGUACCUGACUUGCUUGCCAUAGACAACAAGAAGUGGUGUUUCAUGCAUGGUGUGGAGUUGCUUGAGGAUGCAAAAUCAUUGGUGCAAAAGGCUUGUCUAAGAUAAGCUGGCAGUCUACACCGCAUGGCCUGCGUUGCUGACAUUGAGUGAAGUUAAUGCAGAGUUCCUGUGCCUGACAGAUACUUGAGGAAGCAUCUUGGAGGUUCUCAAGGAGAAGGGAGGCGUUGCCAGAAGGAAGGUAGGAUAACUCAUGGCUCCAACAGCUAAUGGAAACAUUGUGUUUGAGUUGCAAACAAUCUAAUGAAGUUGGGUAUUGCGUAUUAGAAGGUCAGACAUUAGGUGUGGGAGACGCAUGGCCCACCUCUAGGUUCACUGACUCUGAAUUUUGAACAGUUCUGAUUAUGAUGUUCACAAACGAUCUGCACCCCAAUAAAGAGAGCAUGCGAUAAAUGGCACCUGCAUAUCACUGACAAGCACACUAUUAAAUGCCCCCUAUUAGUGGCCAUGGUUGCCAUUCACUAGACAUCAGCAUUUUUACAUUUAGUGCCAUUAAAGCUACAUAAAAAGUGUGUGCACAGUGUUAAGCUUUCUGCAUUUUCUUUUUCCACCAUCAGGACUAGAGUGGCGAAGUGAUCCAAAGGCAGACUGCACAUCUACGUAUAUGGUUUGCAAGGAACAUCCCGUGCCAGAGACUGUGAUACAAGGCAUGGAGCUGUACAGUGAACUCGGAGCAUCUCUUGUGCAUGUGUGAUGCUCUUUGGACUCGGUUACCGGUAUAUACCCUCAAUCUCAACUCUGUGGAUUUGGAUUUACAAUUUUAAGUAUCCAGAUGAACUGAAAUAUAUGUUCUGGUGAA
Engraulis encrasicolus (European anchovy) is the source of this 950-nucleotide long non-coding RNA. RefSeq lists it as uncharacterized. The record is from RefSeq and is a predicted model, not a curated record. Lineage: Eukaryota; Metazoa; Chordata; Actinopteri; Clupeiformes; Engraulidae. The transcript has 3 exons.